GACGAACCGUGCGAACGUUAUUCAGAAUCACUAAGCUUAAAGCGCGUGUAGGCGGAUGGGGACGUCGGUCGCUGAAAUCCCCCGGCUCAACCGGGGAACUGGCGCCGAAACGCCCCGUCUGGAAGGACGUAAAAAAACCUGGAACUUCCGAUGGAGCGGUGAAAUGCGUUGAGAUCGGAAGGAACGCCCGUGGCGAAAGCGAGGUCCUGAACGUCUUCUGACGCUGAGACGCGAAAGCUAGGGUAGCGAACAGG
RNAcentral lists this ribosomal RNA (254 nucleotides) under uncultured bacterium. RNAcentral's name for it is "partial 16S ribosomal RNA". It matches the Rfam family "Bacterial small subunit ribosomal RNA", at positions 524 to 776 of the family's 1533-position model. The record is from RNAcentral.